CCCUGAACGAGCAAUGCCGCGUGAGCGAAGAAGGUCUUCGGAUUGUAAAGCUCUUGUUGCCGGGGAAAAAGGAAGGAAAGAGGAAAUGCUUUUCUUUGGAUGGUACCCGGCCAGAAAGUCACGGCUAACUACGUGCC
Molecule: ribosomal RNA, 137 nt
Filed under: uncultured bacterium
Lineage: Bacteria
Description: partial 16S ribosomal RNA
Rfam family: Bacterial small subunit ribosomal RNA
Source: RNAcentral